UACGUAGGGUGCGAGCGUUGUCCGGAAUUAUUGGGCGUAAAGAGCUCGUAGGCGGUUCGUCGCGUCUGCUGUGAAAUCCCGAGGCUCAACCUCGGGCCUGCAGUGGGUACGGGCGAACUAGAGUGCAGUAGGGGAGACUGGAAUUCCUGGUGUAGCGGUGGAAUGCGCAGAUAUCAGGAGGAACACCGAUGGCGAAGGCAGGUCUCUGGGCUGUAACUGACGCUGAGGAGCGAAAGCGUGGGGAGCGAACAGG
Molecule: unclassified non-coding RNA, 253 nt
Filed under: uncultured Micrococcales bacterium
Lineage: Bacteria; Bacillati; Actinomycetota; Actinomycetes; Micrococcales
Description: contains 16S-23S intergenic spacer region
Rfam family: Bacterial small subunit ribosomal RNA
Source: RNAcentral